RNAcentral lists this ribosomal RNA (230 nucleotides) under uncultured bacterium. RNAcentral's name for it is "partial 16S ribosomal RNA". It matches the Rfam family "Bacterial small subunit ribosomal RNA", at positions 563 to 791 of the family's 1533-position model. The record is from RNAcentral.
AAGCGUUGCGCAGGCGGUUAUGUAAGACAGAUGUGAAAUCCCCGGGCUCAACCUGGGAACUGCAUUAGUGACUGCAUAGCUGGAGUACGGCAGAGGGGGAUGGAAUUCCGCGUGUAGCAGUGAAAUGCGUAGAUAUGCGGAGGAACACCGAUGGCGAAGGCAAUCCCCUGGGCCUGUACUGACGCUCAUGCACGAAAGCGUGGGGAGCAAACAGGAUUAGAUACCCGUGU